This 242-nucleotide ribosomal RNA is filed under the name uncultured Acanthamoeba. Its description in RNAcentral is "partial 18S ribosomal RNA". It matches the Rfam family "Eukaryotic small subunit ribosomal RNA", at positions 97 to 279 of the family's 1831-position model. Lineage: Eukaryota; Discosea; Longamoebia; Acanthamoebidae. The record is from RNAcentral.
CUCAUUAAAUCAGUUAUAGUUUAUUUGAUGGUCUCUUUUGUCUUUUUUUUACCUACUUGGAUAACCGUGGUAAUUCUAGAGCUAAUACAUGCGCAAGGUCCCGAGCGCGGGGGGCGGGGCUUCACGGCUCUGUUCUCGCAUGCGCAGAGGGAUGUAUUUAUUAAGGUUAAAAACCAGCGUAGCCAGCAAUGGCUACUCAAUCUCCUGGUGAUUCAUAGUAACUCUUUCGGAUCGCAUUCAUG